CAGCUUGUCUGGCUCAAGAAUAACAUGG
RNAcentral lists this non-coding RNA (28 nucleotides) under Rattus norvegicus (Norway rat). The record is from RNAcentral. Lineage: Eukaryota; Metazoa; Chordata; Mammalia; Rodentia; Muridae.